UAUUACUAUAGAUUUGAAUAUUGUUAGUUUUGUUUAUUAUUGUGAGAGUGUUAAUUUGCAUAAUAAUCUCUGGCUGACAUAAGCGACAGUUCUAUGCCCUAACGUCGCUAGGAAAUCGUGAAAUAAAUAUAAGUAAAUAUAAUUGAUAAAGUCGCCUUGGAGAAUUGGUAACCUUGAAUGGCCCACAAAGUGAUAAGAUGGACUAUUAACGAAUAAACAGCAACCAAAAAAAAAAAUCAAAUCAAACACAAGAUGCUCCUGAAAACACACGGAACUGUGCUGGGAGAGUGAGAUUGAGAGUGACGAAACCAAAAAAACCGGAGGGAAGCUGAUAACUGUGAGAACUUAGUCGCCUUAUAAGUUGCAUCGUUUCCAUCUAUUCACUCAGACAACACUCACGAUGCGGCGCUGGAACCUGGAUAUUUUUUUCUGCCUAGCUGUUGUGCUUAUGUUCAAUAGUCAAGCGUUUGGCUACCAAUCUUUACAAUAUCGCGGCCAUACCAAGCAUCCGAGUUUACCGAAUCACUGUUAUUAUGAGGAACUGGAGUUGGAUGUACCGAUGAACGAGACCGUCUAUCCGGUAGAUCAACACGGUUACUGUGUCCAUGUGUCUUGUGAAGAGGAUUAUUUGCUCUUGAUCAAGCACUGUGAACACCAGAAUUUGCAAAGCGGUUGUUUCUUUGCCCCCUACGACUAUUCGAAACCCUAUCCACAUUGCUGUGAAAAACACAUUUGCCCAACCACUACCGACUGUGAAAAGGUUAUCGCUGAUUGUUACCUUCCAUUGAUUAGACACUGAGGAGAGAGUUCAGUUGAGCUGAGCUUCUGGCUGUGCGAUCAUUACUCAGUUCACAAUGCUGCCAGUGACAAUAGUGCUCUGUAGUUUGGUCUUGGGGGCGCACCUAAUCUUGGUACUAGGCCUUAAGAACGAUCUUGAGGGAGGCGCUAAUAACGUUUUAGUUGAAUCGGAUGAAUGCAAAGAAGAUGAUUGCCCUUGUGCGACCUCCAGCUUAGGUUGUCCUGCGGUGGUUCGUGCUUUACCCUGUAAACAAAUCGAUGCUGUCAACUAAAGAGUGAAUAAAAUACAGAUUGCAAUUAAAUAAAACCAAAA
RNA transcript from Drosophila sulfurigaster albostrigata, 1111 nucleotides. RefSeq lists it as uncharacterized. The transcript is spliced from 6 exons. Lineage: Eukaryota; Metazoa; Arthropoda; Insecta; Diptera; Drosophilidae. The record is from RefSeq and is a predicted model, not a curated record.